This 253-nucleotide ribosomal RNA is filed under the name uncultured bacterium. RNAcentral describes it as "partial 16S ribosomal RNA". It matches the Rfam family "Bacterial small subunit ribosomal RNA", at positions 524 to 776 of the family's 1533-position model. The record is from RNAcentral.
UACGAAGGAUGCAAGCGUUAUCCGGAUUCAUUGGGUUUAAAGGGUGCGUAGGCGGCCUAAUAAGUCAGUGGUGAAAUCUCCUCGCUUAACGAGGAAACUGCCAUUGAUACUGUUAGGCUUGAGUACAGUUGCUGUGGGCGGAAUAUGACAUGUAGUGGUGAAAUACAUAGAGAUGUCAUAGAACACCGAUUGCGAAGGCAGCUCACAAAACUGUAACUGACGCUGAGGCACGAAAGUGCGGGGAUCAAACAGG